Molecule: long non-coding RNA, 244 nt
Organism: Megalopta genalis
Lineage: Eukaryota; Metazoa; Arthropoda; Insecta; Hymenoptera; Halictidae
Source: RefSeq, a predicted model, not a curated record
UUUUGUUUAAGAUAUUUGUUAAUUUCUGCAUUGCUUGACAUUUCAAAUAUUCGAUCGACACUGUCGCAUAAUGUAAAACUCGAAAGGAUGCCAGGAAUUAAUGAUAUUACUACUGCAAGUGGACUUUGUGUUUUGCUAUCAACCGAGUACAUAGAUAUAUGUAUUUGUUUAUUAGAAAUAUUCGUGAGACACUCUCAAUGUGAUCUAUUUCGAGCGCUAGCUACAUAAAGAUAAGACUAAUUUA